This 262-nucleotide ribosomal RNA is filed under the name uncultured bacterium. RNAcentral describes it as "partial 16S ribosomal RNA". It matches the Rfam family "Bacterial small subunit ribosomal RNA", at positions 793 to 1055 of the family's 1533-position model. The record is from RNAcentral.
GUCCACGCCCUAAACGAUGAACACUAGGUGUUGGAGGUCUCGACCCCUCCAGUGCCGACGCUAACGCAUUAAGUGUUCCGCCUGGGUAGUACGAUCGCAAGAUUAAACUCAAAGGAAUAGACGGGACCCGCACAAGCGGUGGAGCAUCUGGUUUAAUUCGAUAGUAAGCGAGGAACCUUACCACGGUUUGACAUCCCGCGGAGUCUGCCGAAAGGCGGAUGUGCCGUAAGGAACGCGGUGACAGGUGCUGCAUGGUUGUCGU